CCUUAGCCCAUUCUCAGCAGUGCACAUGCCCAUGGCCCCUGCCCAUCACGGUGGGUCUCUGUAGGACCUUUUCUAGUUUCUCCACAGUUCCAACUGUGAUGUGUAGGGCUGGAUGCAGUAUUCCAGGGCAGCCUCACCAGUGCUGAGCAGAAAGGGGUGACAGUUUUCCUAAGUCUGCUGGCCAUCCUCCUCCUAAUGCAGCCAAGUGGUUAGUUUGCCUAAUUUGCAGUGAGAGCUUAAUUUAAUAAAUACUAGAUUGAACAGAUUCUGAAGAAAUUUGCUAUGGAUAACAAGAAAAUAUCUGCAAGAAGGCUGAAUGAACAGUACAUGAGAUGUCAGUUUGGGAACUGGUGAUGUGUUUGGCAGGAGUUUCAGCCAGAUGGAGGAAGAAUGGCUUCUGUGGUCAGAAGGUUAAAGGAACAGGGAAGGUAUGAAACAGAAGUGAAGAAACUGAGGAAUUCACCAUGCAGACAGGUAUGUCUGUGCCUUGCCUUUGCGUUGCUCAUCCAGAUUUUGCCUUGCCUCCUAAGUUUCCUGGCCUGCUUAGGGAACUGCCUCACUGCUGCAGCUUCACCUGGCGAUUGCUGGUCCAUGACCAGCUCAGCCCAUGACUGGGCUCAGCACUGGCCCCAGCCCUCCUUGGCUUGGCGCACUGGAGCACAGGGGGGCUGUGACCCACGGGAAGGAAGAGGAGGGCAGAGUCCUGCUGGCCCGUGGGCAACCAUUUCCCCAGCUGGCCUGUGCCCAUGUGCUUCUCUAUAAACAGCCUGCGGUGGAGUUUGUAACGUAUAUUUUUUACUGUUGCACAGAAACAACUAUUUUCAUUUAAGUUUAUUUUCACAACAGAGAUGUAACAAAGUUCCGGUGUAUAUUCUGAAAGAAACAUGCUGAGUGUUUUUGUUUUUUGUUUUGUUUUAGGAGUGAGAUUCCUGUGCUUCUUUAUUUUGAUUAUCUAAUAGAAGUAGUCUCUUCCUACUGUAAUUCAUUUUUACUGUCUCUCAAAUAUUUUGCAUUGUUUCUCAUUCCACCACUGACUUUCCAACCAAGUUUUAUAAUAAAAUACAAGCCAGAGUGAAAUACUUCUCUGAA
This 1089-nucleotide long non-coding RNA is filed under the name Anser brachyrhynchus (Pink-footed goose). RNAcentral's name for it is "lncRNA (ENSABRG00000012297.1)". The record is from RNAcentral. Lineage: Eukaryota; Metazoa; Chordata; Aves; Anseriformes; Anatidae.